GAUCCGGCUCAGGACGAACGCUGGCGGCGCGCCUAACACAUGCAAGUCGAACGAGCGAGAGAGAGCUUGCUUUCUCGAGCGAGUGGCGAACGGGUGAGUAACGCGUGAGGAACCUGCCUCAAAGAGGGGGACAACAGUUGGAAACGACUGCUAAUACCGCAUAAGCCCACGGCUCGGCAUCGAGCAGAGGGAAAAGGAGCAAUCCGCUUUGAGAUGGCCUCGCGUCCGAUUAG
This 233-nucleotide ribosomal RNA is filed under the name uncultured bacterium. RNAcentral's name for it is "partial 16S ribosomal RNA". It matches the Rfam family "Bacterial small subunit ribosomal RNA", at positions 15 to 244 of the family's 1533-position model. The record is from RNAcentral.